GACGAACGCUGGCGGCGUGCCUAAUACAUGCAAGUCGAGCGAACAGAUGAGGACCUUGCUCCUCUGACGUUAUCGGCGGUCGGGUGAUUAACUCGUGGAUAACCUACCUAUAAGACUGGGAUAACUUCGGGAAACCGUAGCUAAUUCCGGAUAAUAUAUUGAACCGCAUGGUUCACUAGUUAAAGACGGUUUUGCUGUCACUUAUAGAUUGAUCCGCACCGCAUUAGCUAGUUGGUAAGGUAACGGCUUACCAAGGCAACGAUGCGUAGCCGACCUGAGAGUGAGAACGCACACACGGGAACAGAGACGCAGUCGAGACUCCGGCGGAAAGAAGCGGUAGGGAAUCAUCCGGAAGGGAGGAAGGAGUAACGGAGGAAAGUCGCGAAAGGGAUGAAGGACUUCGGAUCGUUAAACGCUGUUAUGAGGGAAGAACUAAAGUGUAAGUAACUAUGAAAGUAAUGACGGUACCGGAUCAAAAAGCCACGGCUAACUACGUG
Molecule: ribosomal RNA, 497 nt
Filed under: uncultured bacterium
Lineage: Bacteria
Description: partial 16S ribosomal RNA
Rfam family: Bacterial small subunit ribosomal RNA
Source: RNAcentral